CUACGGGUCGCACCAGUGGGGAAUAUUGGACAAUGGGGGAAACCCUGAUCCAGCAAUGCCGCGUGUGUGAAGAAGGCCUGCGGGUUGUAAAGCACUUUCGGUUGGGAGGACUGCUUCUAGCACUAAUAUUGUUGGAAGUUGACGUUACCUUCAGAAGAAGCACCGGCUAACUCCGUGCCAGCAGCCGCGGUAUACGGAGGGUGCAAGCGUUAAUCGGAAUUACUGGGCGUAAAGCGCGCGUAGGCGGCUAGAUCAGUCGGGUGUGAAAGCCCCGGGCUUAACCUGGGAACUGCAUCCGAUACUGUCUAGCUUGAAUACAGGAGAGGAGAGUGGAAUUCCACAUGUAGCGGUGAAAUGCGUAGAUAUGUGGAGGAACACCAAUGGCGAAGGCAGCUCUCUGGCCUGAUACUGACGCUGAGGUGCGAAAGCGUGGGGAGCAAACAGGAUUAGAUACCCUCGUAGUC
RNAcentral lists this ribosomal RNA (464 nucleotides) under uncultured bacterium. RNAcentral's name for it is "partial 16S ribosomal RNA". It matches the Rfam family "Bacterial small subunit ribosomal RNA", at positions 339 to 795 of the family's 1533-position model. The record is from RNAcentral.